CAUCCCUUCGCCCUGCCCCCUUGCCACACCCCACCGCAGCUCACCCCUUAACCACUCCCCCUUACCCCGCCCCCGCCGCAGCCCUCCCCUUUACCUCGCUCCUCGCUCCCCGCCUCCGCCCAUCCCGGCCCUGUUCCCUCCUCGCCGCCACAGCCCACCGCCCGGAGACCCCGAACGCCCGGGUCUCCCGCCGCUAUCCCGAGGCCGGAAGCGGAAGUGCGGCCGGGGAGCAGCCGCGGGUCUGGCACCAGGGCUGCGAGUCCGGUCUUCCCGGCCGGUGCGCGCCGGAACCCGCUUGAGGAGCGGGACUCGAUGCGCCGCGGAGAUCUUGGGUCCGAUCCAGGAGGGAGGGGCUGGACCUCGGGCAGCCCCGGGUCACGCCGACAUCCCCCUGUCCCUCACGCGAGCCCCAGUCCUUCCCUGGGGCCUCAGGCUGUUCCUCAGGUCAGCCUCUAGCUCCGGACACCGCCGUCCCCUACUCCGAAAGCACGGUCCUGUCACCUCCCCUGCGGGCCACUCUACCACUCUACCCCGGACUUCCGGCCAUGUCUGGGGACUGUGUGAUUGUCACGUACGGCAUCUAGAGGGCAAGAAAAGCAUCUCUCCAUUUCAAGUUUGUAUGGACACCAGCCUCAAGGUUCACCUGCCCUCAGGGAUCCGUGGAUUUCUGUGUGAUCAGGUGAGUACCCUGUGGAACUGGUAAUAAUAGGCCUCGGCAGCCUCCACUGGGCAGGACACUUCCUGUGCUCAAGCUGUAAACACCAGGAGUCUCUUAAGAGUGAAGCUUAAAAAUUAAAUUACUUGAUUUUCUUUCUUUUUUUUAAAUAAAAAAAAUUUUUAACGUUUAUUUAUUAUUGAG
RNAcentral lists this long non-coding RNA (859 nucleotides) under Felis catus (domestic cat). RNAcentral describes it as "lncRNA (ENSFCAG00000051960.1)". The record is from RNAcentral. Lineage: Eukaryota; Metazoa; Chordata; Mammalia; Carnivora; Felidae.